This 533-nucleotide long non-coding RNA is filed under the name Homo sapiens (human). RNAcentral's name for it is "HSALNT0349500". Lineage: Eukaryota; Metazoa; Chordata; Mammalia; Primates; Hominidae. The record is from RNAcentral.
UACGGCCCCCACUGCAGACCCCAGAUCCCGCCAGUCCCCGGACUCCUCCCGGCGCCCCAGGUUUCCACGGCCGCCUGCAGCUCCUCGGCUGAGGCUGCGCUUCGUAGGGGCUGCCGGGCUCCGGGACGCAGUCCUGCAGUCUUUUUCUGACUGCAGGACUGACUGCAAGACUUUCUGACUGCAAGACUGCAGGACUGCAGUCUUUUUCACCACCAUUCCUGUGGCCAGUGCCCUGUUGCACACUUGAGCUGCUUCUGAUUUUUUCUUCCUUUUUUUUUUUUUUUUUUUUGCUGUUCAAACAGGACUUCAGGAAUAACCGUGGAAGCGAUAUCUUCCCUGUUCUUAGUAACUGCAGUAGUGUCUCUGAGGAGAGGAGAUCUGGAUACAGAUACACACAGAGAGAAGAUGAUAAGGAGACCCAGGAGGAAGGCGGCCAUCUACAAGCCAAGGAGAGAGAAUGCAGAAGAAACCAAUCCUGUCAACACCUUCAACCUAGCCUCCAGCAUUGUGCAGGAAUAAAUUUCUGUUGUUUA